AUUGAACGCUGGCGGCAGGCCUAACACAUGCAAGUCGAGCGAGCGGCGGACGGGUGAGUAAUGUCUGGGAAACUCCCUGAUGUAGGGGGAUAUCUCUUGGAAACGGUAUCUAAUACCGCAUACCAUCAGAUGUGCCCAGAUGUGAUUUGCUAGUAGGUGGGGUAACGGCUCACCUAGGCGACGAUCCCUAGCUGGUCUGAGAGGAUGACCAGCCACACUGGAACUGAGACACGGUCCAGAAGCCUACGGGAGGCAGCAGUGGGGAAUAUUGCACAAUGGGCGCAAGCCUGAUGCAGCCAUGCCGCGUGUGUGAAGAAGGCCUUCGGGUUGUAAAGCACUUUCAGCGGGGAGGCGUUACCCGCAGAAGAAGCACCGGCUAACUCCGUGCCAGCAGCCGCGGUAAUAC
This 406-nucleotide ribosomal RNA is filed under the name uncultured bacterium. Its description in RNAcentral is "partial 16S ribosomal RNA". It matches the Rfam family "Bacterial small subunit ribosomal RNA", at positions 30 to 526 of the family's 1533-position model. The record is from RNAcentral.